Molecule: long non-coding RNA, 401 nt
Filed under: Olea europaea (common olive)
Lineage: Eukaryota; Viridiplantae; Streptophyta; Magnoliopsida; Lamiales; Oleaceae
Description: long non-coding RNA (OEUR_LNC010233)
Source: RNAcentral
CUGAAUUGAAGAACAUAAAUACACAGAAAUCGGCCAGCUGCUAGGGGUGAAUAAUUGGGCUACAAAGUUGAAUUAAAUACAUAAAUACACAUCUACAGAAAGCCAAAAAUUGGAGGCUGGGAUUGGAAAUAAAAGAGGAGGCUGCUUGGUGGCUGAAAAUUGAAGAAAACGAGAUGGAAUUACGCACCGUAAUUAAAAGAGAUGACAUAUACGUGGAUGGACAACAACAUAAUUGGAGCAUUAAUUCCAUAUUUUUGUACAUAAUUCAUCAACAAUUUGUGCAAGAAAUUUGGGAAUUAAUCAAGUUCCGUUAAUUUAUCGGUGAUGUCUUUUAUCCUUUAUUUGUUUAAUUACAACAUUGUGUUAGGCUAAUUUUUCAUAUUGUUAAGAUGUGAUGAACC